CCGUUUCGGUCUCCUGGCUCUGAUACGCAAGACGCUGGAGGUGACAUCACCCUUGUUAGCGAGACCAAAAACCAACACACAAAACAUCAAGAGCUGGAACCAAGUACAUCAGUCCUGGGAGGCUUAGCUCACACACGAUGGCAGAUUUAAACUGUAGAAAUAUAUUCACCAUCGAUGGCUUGAUGUUCGUGGUGUUCACGCUAAAUGUGUGUGUGUGUGUGUUUUAUUUGUGCACCUUCACAUUGCUUUGAACAGUAUCCACAUUACAUACUGUAUUAUAAUAGGAAUGGUUUGGUGAAAAAUCAAACUUACUCUAAAUGCAGUGGAUUAGAAUAGUGGUUGGUGUCCAACAACUAAAAUGCUACUUUUGGCUGCUUUGGCUGUAACUAUAACAAUGUUCUUAUUGUUAAGACGUGACUGGUGAUGAGGUAAAGAUUGGUGCGACUGUGGUGAUGAGGUAAAGAUUGGUGCGACUGGUGAUGAGGUAAAGAUGGUGAUGAGGUAAAGAUUGGUGUGUCUCUGGGGAUGAGGUAAAGAUUGGUGCGACUCUGGUGAUGAGGUAAAGAUUGGUGCGUCUCUGGGGAUGAGGUAAAGAUUGGUGCGACUGUGGUGAUGAGGUAUAGAUUGGUGUGACUGGUGAUGAGGUAACGAUUGGUGCGACUGUGGUGAUGAGGUAAAGAUUGGUGCGACUCUGGUGAUGAGGUAAAGAUUGGUGCGACUGGUGAUGAGGUAAAGAUGGUGAUGAGGUAAAGAUUGGUGUGUCUCUGGGGAUGAGGUAAAGAUUGGUGCGUCUCUGGGGAUGAGGUAAAGAUUGGUGCGUCUCUGGGGAUGAGGUAAAGAUUGGUGUGACUGGUGAUGAGGUAAAGAUCGCUGCGACCCUGGUGAUGAGGUAUAGAGUGGUGCAUCUCUGAGGAUGAGGUAAAGAUUGGGGUGACUCUGGUGAUGAGGUAAAGAUUGGUUCUACUCUGGUGAUGAGGUACAGAUUGGCGUGACUCUGGGGAUGAGGUAAAGAUUGGGGUGACUCUGGUGAUGAGGUAAAGAUUGGUGCUACUCUGGUGAUGAGGUAAAUAUUGGUGCGACUCUGAGGAUGAGGUAAAGAUUGGUGCUACUCUGGUGAUGAGGUAAAGAUUGGUGUGACUGGUGAUGAGGUAAAGAUCGCUGCGACCUUGGUGAUGAGGUAUAGGGUGGUGCAUCUCUGAGGAUGAGGUAAAGAUUGGGGUGACUCUGGUGAUGAGGUAAAGAUUGGUUCUACUCUGGUGAUGAGGUAAAGAGUGGCGUGACUUUGGUGAUCAGGUAUAGAUUGGUGCGUCUCUAGGGAUGAGGUAAAGAUCACUGCGACCCUGGUGAUGAGGUGACGAUUGGCGUGACUCUGGUGAUGAGGUGAAGAUCGGCGUGACGCUGGUGAUGAGGUAAAGAUUGGGGUAAAGAUUGUCACAUUGUGCUUUUCUGAAAACCUUUUACCAGAGCUCCACUACACUUCCCCUAGGUUUGAAGAAUCCGUGAGGCUGCCCCAUCAAAACAUUUCUGGAGGCUGGAUGUCAUGCUGUUCUUUGAUCUUAAAUGUGUAAAAGCAGAUUAUUUCUGUUUCCAUAAAAACGGUUGUAUGCAUGUAAAGAUGUGGGCGUGUGUUUAUUUAAAAUGUUUCAAGUGAGGCAGACGAACGUCACACAGUAACUUCGUUAAAGGCUUUGGGGCGGGGGGGGCGAGGGGAGACUGUGUACAUUUGAUUUUUCAUCAAACCAUUCCUUUCAAGUAGCCAUAAUGUGUGUAUUAUUUUACUAAACAUGUUAAUGUCUAAUGUUUUUUUUUGGUUGUUGAUUGAUUGAUGUAUAUCUGAGAAAGCAAUUUUUUUUAAACAUCAGCUGUCUGUAAAGUUCUUCUAAUGCCCAGUGCCAGUACAUCUGGUGUAUUUGGUCUUGUCUUCAUACUUUUUAUUUAUAUAGAUCAUAAUUCAUCCAGUUCAGACUCAAAUACUCCUGGAGUCGUUUAGUCUGAAAUGUCCUCAAAAAG
This is a long non-coding RNA of Ictalurus punctatus (channel catfish), 2010 nucleotides long. Lineage: Eukaryota; Metazoa; Chordata; Actinopteri; Siluriformes; Ictaluridae. The record is from Ensembl.